RNAcentral lists this ribosomal RNA (468 nucleotides) under uncultured bacterium. RNAcentral describes it as "partial 16S ribosomal RNA". It matches the Rfam family "Bacterial small subunit ribosomal RNA", at positions 28 to 507 of the family's 1533-position model. The record is from RNAcentral.
GACGAACGCUGGCGGCGUGCUUAACACAUGCAAGUCGAACGGAAAGGCCCUGCUUUUGUGGGGUGCUCGAGUGGCGAACGGGUGAGUAACACGUGAGUAACCUGCCCUUGACUUUGGGAUAACUUCAGGAAACUGGGGCUAAUACCGGAUAGGAGCUCCUGCUGCAUGGUGGGGGGUGGAAAGUUUCGGCGGUUGGGGAUGGACUGGCGGCUUAUCAGCUUGUUGGUUGGGUAGUGGUUUACCAAGGCUUUGACGGGUAGCCGGCCUGAGAGGGUGACCGGCCACAUUGGGGCUGAGAUACGGCCCAGACUCCUACGGGAGGCAGCAGUGGGGAAUAUUGCACAAUGGGCGGAAGCCUGAUGCAGCAACGCCGCGUGCGGGAUGACGGCCUUCGGGUUGUAAACCGCUUUCGCCUGUGACGAAGCGUGAGUGACGGUAAUGGGUAAAGAAGCACCGGCUAACUACGUG